Molecule: transfer RNA, 63 nt
Filed under: Neohydatothrips samayunkur
Lineage: Eukaryota; Metazoa; Arthropoda; Insecta; Thysanoptera; Thripidae
Description: tRNA-Lys
Source: RNAcentral
CUCUCCAUAAGUUAAAUAAAACUUUUGAAUUUUUACUUCAAUAUUACAAAGAAGUUGAAGAGA